GCUUUUACUAGAAAGCCAUGCUCCUCUACGUAUAGCCUGAGUUCUGUCCAUAAGGCCAGAGGACAGUUCUGUGCUGGCUCAGUCCUGGUAGUUCUUCAGCCCUGUAUCAAACUUCUUAAUUUUGAUGUCUGCAGGAUGGACACAGGGAGAGAUGACUUAGCAGAUGGAGUUACAUAUUUCAGUUGAGCAUCCACACCUCUACAUCUGAGUCUUCUAGGUCAGGAGCCCUGGAAAACGACAAUGAAGCACAUCAGACUCUAAUUCACAGUAGAAGCCCCGGCCUAAUGUCACUCAGAUGACGUAAUGCACCUGUUAGAAGCUGAGGACAUCACCAUCCUUGGCUGUAAGGAGGCUUCAGGAAUAAGCUGUACGGCCCCUGAGGUAGGGCUGAGGACUCUUCUGGCAAAACUCUGGCUCCACAGCAGGACAAAACAUGCUGAAGGAUCUGUGACUGCACCAAGCAGACAUCGAGCGACGAUAUGGCUGGCCUC
This is a long non-coding RNA of Mastomys coucha (southern multimammate mouse), 491 nucleotides long. RefSeq lists it as uncharacterized. Lineage: Eukaryota; Metazoa; Chordata; Mammalia; Rodentia; Muridae. The transcript is spliced from 4 exons. The record is from RefSeq and is a predicted model, not a curated record.